AUACGUAGGGAGCAAGCGUUGUCCGGAUUUACUGGGUGUAAAGGGUGCGUAGGCGGCCCUGCAAGUCAGGUGUGAAAACUCUGGGCUUAACUCGUAGAUUGCACUUGAAACUGUGGGGCUUGAGUGAAGUAGAGGCAGGCGGAAUUCCCGGUGUAGCGGUGAAAUGCGUAGAGAUCGGGAAGAACACCAGUGGCGAAGGCGGCCUGCUGGGCUUUAACUGACGCUGAGGCACGAAAGCGUGGGUAGCAAACAGGAUUAGAUACCCUGGUAGUCCAUGCUGUAAACGAUGAUUACUAGGUGUGGGGGGACUGACCCCCUCCGUGCCGGAGUUAACACAAUAAGUAAUCCACCUGGGAAGUACGACCGCAAGGUUGAA
RNAcentral lists this ribosomal RNA (376 nucleotides) under uncultured bacterium. RNAcentral's name for it is "bacterial SSU rRNA". It matches the Rfam family "Bacterial small subunit ribosomal RNA", at positions 523 to 898 of the family's 1533-position model. The record is from RNAcentral.